This 914-nucleotide long non-coding RNA is filed under the name Vitis vinifera (wine grape). Its description in RNAcentral is "long non-coding RNA (VVIN_LNC004293)". The record is from RNAcentral. Lineage: Eukaryota; Viridiplantae; Streptophyta; Magnoliopsida; Vitales; Vitaceae.
GGCACCGGUGGAGGGGUUGAAGGUGAAGGAGCCUGGAGGGACGUCCACAACUCUCCGGCCGACCCUAACUGCCAUAAGGUUGACAAAGUAAAGUGAUGGUCUUCUAGGGUUCUUGAGCAAUGGGGUGUACUUGAUCCUCUUGGGCUGCCCAACUGGGCCCAACCUCAGCGACCCAGAGAAGUUGAGGGACUUGAAGCUAGGCAAGCAGUAGGAGAAUGUGGAUUGGUAUAGGUUUUGGGUCUGGGACAGCAACGACAAGGGGCCUCGGCCCAGGCCCAGGAGGCCCUGCGCCGGUAGGGAUCCGCCGGUGGCCUUUUGUAUGCAACCGAAGCUGUAGCCGGGGACUGCAUCGGUGGCUAGGGUGAUGGUGUCCUGUGAGAGGUUGGCUGCUAAGGAGGAGCCACCAUAGGUGAGGUUGAAUGAGCACACCCCCCCACCGCAUGUGGGUUUUGGCACCUGAAAUUACGCGAAGAUCAUAGAAGUUAAAAAGUCUUUUUUUAUAUAAAGGCCCUGGUGACAUGUCAAGAAAAAAACAAAGGAAACAACACUCGGAGAUGUGAGUAAUGGUGAGAGUAAAUGCAGUACCUGCUUACACUGAGCAGCUUGGCAGCCAAGGGACUUGUAGGUAGUAGAGGCAGGAGAGUUAAAGAGAGUGGAGGAGCAGCCCAGACAGCCAUUGCAAGGAAUCCAAGCAACAUCACUGCUGGUGUCCAUGGCCAUGAGCAUGGUUUGAGCAGGAGUUCCAAUCUUAGCCCUCACAAUAUAAGUUGGGUUCUGGACGAUCUGCCUGCCUGAAGCAAUAGGCACUACAGAUUUGCGGGCGACAAGGCUAGAUAAAAACUGGAGCCUGGCCUUGUCCUUGGCCUGCAUUUGGAGCACACUCUCCUCCCAGGACAGUGGCUCUUUUGGCCUGA